This 747-nucleotide ribosomal RNA is filed under the name uncultured bacterium. RNAcentral describes it as "bacterial SSU rRNA". It matches the Rfam family "Bacterial small subunit ribosomal RNA", at positions 1 to 791 of the family's 1533-position model. The record is from RNAcentral.
CGGAAUCCCCUUGAGUUUGAUAUGGCUCAGGAUGAACGCUGGCGGCGUGCCUAAGACAUGCAAGUCGAGGGGGUUUAGACCCCCGGCGAACGGGUGAGUAAUACGUGGGAACUUUCGUUAAGUUCGGGAUAAUCCACCGAAAGGUGGGACAAUACCGAAUGUGAUCGCGAGAUUAAAGAUUUAUCGCUUAACGUGAGGCCCGCGCCCCAUCAGCUAGUUGGUAAGGUAAAGGCUUACCAAGGCUACGACGGGUAGCGGAACCGAGAGGUUGAUCCGCCACACUGGGACUGCGACACGGCCCAGACUCCUACGGGAGGCAGCAGUUUGGAAUUUUGGACAAUGGACGAAAGUCUGAUCCAGCGACGCCGCGUGCACGACGAAGGUCUUCGGAUCGUAAAGUGCUUUUGCAGGGAACGAAUUUUUAACGGUACCCUGAGAAUAAGAGGUUGCUAACUCUGUGCCAGCAGCAGCGGUAAUACAGAGACCUCAAGCGUUAUCCGGAAUUAUUGGGCGUAAAGCGUACCGACAGGUGGUUUGGUUAGUCUUGGGUGAAAUCCUGAAGCUCAACUUCAGAUUUGCCCAGGAUACUGCCAGACUAGAGGGGCAAAGAGGAGACUGGAACGAACGGUGUAGUAGUGAAAUGCGUUGAUAUCGUUCGGAACACCGAAAGCGAAGGCAGGUCUCUGGGUGCCACCUGACACUGCUAGGACGAAAGCGUGGGGAGCGAAUGGGAUUAGAUACCCCAGU